Molecule: long non-coding RNA, 1076 nt
Organism: Gymnogyps californianus (California condor)
Lineage: Eukaryota; Metazoa; Chordata; Aves; Accipitriformes; Cathartidae
Exons: 3
Source: RefSeq, a predicted model, not a curated record
CUCACGACAAUCUCAUGAGCACCCGCAGCGAUCUACAACCAUGGCUGGUGCGAUAAUCCAGUCCCAUCCGAAAGCUUCAAAAUCCACUGUCAGCGGGUAGCGACAACAUCGGGAUUCUGUCGAGUGUUCAUCGCAGUCGAGGCCAAAAUCUCUGCGGGACCGUUUCGGUGUGUCUGUAACUCUGACCUCUAAAAAUGGGUUCUGGGAGGAGAGGAGAAGGAAUCGGAAGCAUUACUGAGCAAAUGUAAUGGAUGCAGAGGUGUGCUCAGGCUGAAACUCGGAAAUGAUGGGUAAUCACGAGAAAUGCACACUGUGGAGGACUUCUGCGGUCCUUGGAGUGCUCAGGGCUCUGACCAGUGGUACCAGUGCUGUGGGCUGACCUGUACAGCUGCAAAAUAGCCUCUUUCCCAGACAAAAACUCCUUGGGGAGAGAGCACAGCCUAUUCCACUUGGCAGUGACUACUACCAACUCACUUCUGCUCGUCAUCUCCUGAGGACCUUCAUAAAGCAUGCAGAAUAGCAAGUCUGCAUAAGCUGACUCAACAUGUAUGUGGUGACCCAGCUAUUUCUAAUUUACUAAAUAGCCUUAGUGUGCUACACAUCGUACAAACAGAGACAGCCAUGGGCAAACUACAUGAACGCAUUCAUUUCUUUUCGCAAUGGAAAAACAAAUUGUUAGAAGAGUAUUAAUCUAAGGAUCAUUUUGUUUUCAUUUGAACAAUAUUAUAGGAAAGUCACAUGCAGUGCUGCGUUCCUCCUUCCUGUAGCCUACGAUGCAGCUGUCAUACCUAGUCAUGGCAAUAUCUUUCCAUGCCAGGAUAAAAUGGGUAAUACUAAUCUUAAAUGGUGCAGGGCUUUGACAUUCAUAAAUCUCACCACUUAAGAUACCUGUCUCUUUAGUGCAUUUAAAAUAGUUCAAGGGCUUUUUAUAAAAAGUAGGAAAUGAACUCAGAUCAAUGAAGUACAAUGACUUUUCUUCAGUCAUUGUAACUAUAUAACAGUUUAAUUAAAAAUAGUUAUAAAGCCUGGGACAUAAUAGGCUGGAAUAAAACUGCUGGCAGACCUCAACUUUGUGA